This 395-nucleotide non-coding RNA is filed under the name Limosilactobacillus ingluviei. RNAcentral's name for it is "Lactobacillus ingluviei Bacterial large subunit ribosomal RNA". It matches the Rfam family "Bacterial large subunit ribosomal RNA", at positions 1 to 390 of the family's 2925-position model. Lineage: Bacteria; Bacillati; Bacillota; Bacilli; Lactobacillales; Lactobacillaceae. The record is from Rfam by way of RNAcentral.
GGUUAAGUUAGAAAGGGCGCAUGGUGAAUGCCUUGGUACUAGGAGCCGAUGAAGGACGGGACUAACACCGAUAUGCUUCGGGGAGCGGUAAGUACGCUUUGAUCCGGAGAUUUCCGAAUGGGGAAACCUAAUCAUCUUAGUCGAUGAUUGCUUGGCUGGUGAAUCUAUAGCCAGCAAGCGGUAGACGCAGUGAACUGAAACAUCUUAGUAGCUGCAGGAAGAGAAAGAAACAUCGAUUUCCUGAGUAGCGGCGAGCGAAACGGAAAGAGCCCAAACCAAGAAGCUUGCUUCUUGGGGUUGUAGGACUGAACAUUUGAGUUACCAAAGGGCAAGGUAGUCGAAACAGCUGGGAAGCUGUACCAGAGAUGGUGAUAGUCCAGUAGACGAAACCUUAC